UGAGAUAGGCAGUCACCCUGCAGCCCAAGACCAGUUACUCACUGAAGCUAAGCAGGGCUGAGCCUGGUCAGUACCUGGAUGGGAGACAACAUAGGAAAACAAGGUUGCUGUUGGAA
Molecule: ribosomal RNA, 116 nt
Organism: Danio rerio (zebrafish)
Lineage: Eukaryota; Metazoa; Chordata; Actinopteri; Cypriniformes; Danionidae
Source: Ensembl